Molecule: ribosomal RNA, 459 nt
Filed under: Conticribra weissflogii
Lineage: Eukaryota; Bacillariophyta; Thalassiosirophyceae; Thalassiosirales; Thalassiosiraceae
Description: partial Bacterial large subunit ribosomal RNA
Rfam family: Bacterial large subunit ribosomal RNA
Source: RNAcentral
GCGUUGCAUGGGCGGGGUCGUGGGACCAGCCAUUCCAGUUCUGCCGGGCUGGAGGAGUGAGGUGCGGGUGCAUAGGCGAACCGGUUUGAAGGCCGGACCAUAGGGGGUGUUAGUCCCGUAGCCGUAAUGUUCUCCGCCGCUUUGUGUUGGCAUCCCAAGUAGCACGGGGCCCGAGAAAUCCCGUGUGAAUCUGUCAGGACCACCUGAUAAGCCUAAAUACUCCCAGAUGACCGAUAGCGGACAAGUACCGUGAGGGAAAGGUGAAAAGUACCCCGGGAGGGGAGUGAAAUAGUACCUGAAACCGUGCGCUUACAAUCCGUUAGAGCAUGACCCUUGUGGUUGUGUGAUGGCGUGCCUUUUGAAGAAUGAGCCUGCGAGUUAGUGAUAUGUGGCGAGGUUAACCCGUGUGGGGUAGCCGUAGCGAAAGCGAGUCUUAAUAGGGCGAUCGAGUCGCAUGUU